Molecule: long non-coding RNA, 747 nt
Filed under: Sus scrofa (pig)
Lineage: Eukaryota; Metazoa; Chordata; Mammalia; Artiodactyla; Suidae
Description: lncRNA (ENSSSCG00015043837.1)
Source: RNAcentral
UAUUAAUUUAUUACUACUCAUUAUUCAUAAUAAUAAGUGAAAACAUUUAUUUCCAGUGUCCCUGGCAGGGAGUAAGGGAGCGUGUUUAGAUCGUUCUCCGUUUUUAUUUUCCCAGAAAUGAUAUAAUGAGCUUCAACCUAGAAGAGUCCUUUCCUAAGCAUGGAAGUUACUUCCCAGGAGGGACUUGGGUGCUGAAGUGCUUGGAUCUGCCUCAUUAAUCUAUGUGGUAGAGAAGUUUCUCAUUUUCCUGACUUUGCUUGGAGCCCAGGCUCAGAUACAAACUGGAGGAUAAAAGGAGGCUACUUAAAAUAACAGCAGCUAUUUUUAUAAAAGUGAUAAAAUAUCUUGAGCAAGAGAGGUGGCUCUUAAAACCAGCCGCUAUGGUCGCUCCUCUUGAUGAAGAAGGUUUAUUCUCAUGACACAUUUCAUAGCUUUAUAAUCUGGGCUAUUAGAAAACAGAAAGCCCAAGGAGCAUUUAUGACAUCUUAUAAGGCUGAGGUUAUUUUAAAACCUCAUGAAACCAUGGACAAAUAUUCUUCAAAAUCUGAAAGUAUGAUUCUGGGAGUCUGGGUAUGGAGGAAGCAGGAGCUGUGGUGCGGCAGAAGAGCGUGGAACAAAGAUUUAAGACGUCUGGGUCUGAUGGUUUUGCCUUCCAGGAGCUCAGUCUCCAUAUCUGUAAAAUGGAGAGUAUAUUCUCAUCUUCACUGGGUUGCUGAGAGGAACAGAGAAACACUUCUCCGGUAUUAA